GGCGUAAAGGGCUCCGCAGGCGGUUUCUUAAGUCUGAUGUGAAAGCCCCCGGCUCAACCGGGGAGGGUCAUUGGAAACUGGGGAACUUGAGUGCAGAAGAGGAGAGUGGAAUUCCACGUGUAGCGGUGAAAUGCGUAGAGAUGUGGAGGAACACCAGUGGCGAAGGCGACUCUCUGGUCUGUAACUGACGCUGAGGAGCGAAAGCGUGGGGAGCGAACAGGAUUAGAUACCCUGGUAGUCCACGCCGUAAACGAUGAGUGCUAAGUGUUAGGGGGUUUCCGCCCCUUAGUGCUGCAGCUAACGCAUUAAGCACUCCGCCUGGGGAGUACGGUCGCAAGACUGAAACUCAAAGGAAUUGACGGGGGCCCGCACAAGCGGUGGAGCAUGUGGUUUAAUUCGAAGCAACGCGAAGAACCUUACCAGGUCUUGACAUCCUCUGACAAUCCUAGAGAUAGGACGUCCCCUUCGGGGGCAGAGUGACAGGUGGUGCAUGGUUGUCGUCAGCUCGUGUCGUGAGAUGUUGGGUUAAGUCCCGCAACGAGCGCAACCCUUGAUCUUAGUUGCCAGCAUUCAGUUGGGCACUCUAAGGUGACUGCCGGUGACAAACCGGAGGAAGGUGGGGAUGACGUCAAAUCAUCAUGCCCCUUAUGACCUGGGCUACACACGUGCUACAAUGGACAGAACAAAGGGCAGCGAAACCGCGAGGUUAAGCCAAUCCCACAAAUCUGUUCUCAGUUCGGAUCGCAGUCUGCAACUCGACUGCGUGAAGCUGGAAUCGCUAGUAAUCGCGGAU
This 793-nucleotide ribosomal RNA is filed under the name Bacillus subtilis. RNAcentral's name for it is "bacterial SSU rRNA". It matches the Rfam family "Bacterial small subunit ribosomal RNA", at positions 557 to 1349 of the family's 1533-position model. The record is from RNAcentral. Lineage: Bacteria; Bacillati; Bacillota; Bacilli; Caryophanales; Bacillaceae.